CCUACGGGUGGCAGCAGUGAGGAAUAUUGGUCAAUGGGCGGAAGCCUGAACCAGCCAAGCCGCGUGAAGGAAGAAGGCCCCAGGCGUCGUAAACUUCUUUUGUCGGGGAACAAAGGGCGCUACGCGUGGCGGUGUGAGUGUACCCGAAGAAAAAGCAUCGGCUAACUCCGUGCUAGCAGCCGCGGUAAUACGGAUGGUGCGAGCGUUAUCCGGAUUUAUUGGGUUUAAAGGGUGCGUAGGCGGUGCGUAAAGCUCGGGGUGAAAGCCCCGGGCUGAACCCCGGCCGAGCCGUUCAAACGGGCGGACUAGAGUCGGCGAGAAGUAGGCGGAAUGCGUGGUGUAGCGGUGAAAUGCAUAGAUAUGGCGAAGAACGCCGAUUGCGAAGGCAGCGUACCGGCGCCGGACUGACGCUGAGGCACGAAAGCGUGGGUAUCGAACAGGAUUAGAUACCCGAGUAGUC
Molecule: ribosomal RNA, 460 nt
Filed under: uncultured bacterium
Lineage: Bacteria
Description: partial 16S ribosomal RNA
Rfam family: Bacterial small subunit ribosomal RNA
Source: RNAcentral